Long non-coding RNA from Pongo pygmaeus (Bornean orangutan), 8886 nucleotides. RefSeq lists it as uncharacterized. The record is from RefSeq and is a predicted model, not a curated record. The transcript is spliced from 4 exons. Lineage: Eukaryota; Metazoa; Chordata; Mammalia; Primates; Hominidae.
GAGGAGAGAACGAAGGAAAAAAGCCGGGACAAGAAGAAAGAAAUCUUCCUUUUGCAAAAGGAGGCAUAAUGUGGCUUAGAGGUUGCCAAAGCAAAAGAACAGUCCCCCUCUCCGCCCUGGGGGAGCCGGGGAGGAUGUGCAGCCCCACUCCUCCUGCUCGGCGGAGCCUCGCGCGCGCAGAGCCUAGCGCGAUUCGCGCCCUCAUUACCACUACAAAGCGCGGGCCAGACCAAUCCCCUUUCUAAUGCACCAUUUUCGAAUGAGAACAUCAAGAGGCCAGAAACUUCCAAGUCAGCUUGCAGACGCAGACGCCUCCUGGGGUCCUGGCUUUAAGAACCAGAUGCCAACAUUCCCGGACAGUUUAUGGCAUCCGGAUCCCUCAAGGGUGCUCAUCUGCAGUUGAGAGUCUAAUAAAUGGCAUUAACAAAGCGUUUCAACGACUACCACGGCUUAACAGUGGCUCCUCCCCUGUCCUGCCACCAUUCAGGCUGUUAUUCCUUCCAGGAUUCCCGCACCGUCCUGUGUGCCCAGAGCUCUCUAGAGCACCAGGUAGAACUCCCUGCUAAAUCCAAUUGCUUGCAACCUUCUGAUCCCCUUUUAGGGAGAUCACUUUUCAGCUUGGUUCAAAGAAAGCAAAGUUUGGGAAGUUUGGCGGAGGGGCCGAUUUAACUACGGACACUGCAAAUAUUUUGUUACAAAUGCUGUGAAGUGCCCCGAUUUGUGGCUGCGUUAGCUUUCACAAAGGAUUUUCCUGUGUCUUUUGUUCCGGUCACCAAAUUAAAAAAGAAAACUUGAGCGAGAGAUAAGGUCUCGGAAAACAAUCUUGGGCCGCCCGCGAGCUGGCGGGAGCAGGGCUGGCGUCGCCUUGUCUGCGCCGCCCCGAGGCGCGAGUCUUGGGGUCCGGCCACCGCAGGGAGCCUAGGUCAUGCAGGGACCCUCCCUCCAUCCCCUGUGCGCCCCCGCGCCACAGCGCAGCACACAGGCCACCCCUCCUCUGCCCACCAGCGUCCGUGGGAAUCUGCUCCAGCCAGCGACAAGGGCGGGCUUGUCCGGAAUCUAACUGCAUCUUAAUAUUAUAAUGCGGCACCAAAAGGCAAAACCCGAGGCCCCGGCUUGCAGUCCCUAACAAGAAACACAUUGUGUGCGCUUUUUCUUUUUUGGCUCAAGCCGCGUUCGCGCGCCGGCCCCUCCGCAGCGAGCCAAGUCCAUGACUUCAGUGAGGAGGAACCCGCCUGCCUCGCACCACGUGCGCUCCCAGCUGGGGCAGCCGCCCUGUGAGCCCUGUCCGGGUCCCUGGGACGGGCUAGGGACUGGCCGGGACGCACUUGUCCUGGGCACAGGACAAGGGCUUUGGGGCACAGCCCCUUUUCGGCCGGGGAGGCAGGCGAACCGAUCGCCCAGGCACUGGUGUUACCCAGGCGGCGCCAGCGCGAGUUGGCUGGUGGACAGAUUUUUCAAUAGUUUCAACUCCUUCUUCCCCUUGCCGCAUUUUUAAGGCGUUUACUCCCAGAUUCAGCCCUCUCCUCAUAAUAAUGACAGUUUGCAGACUUUUCCUCUCCAGUUAGAGAGAGUGCGUGCGCGAGUCCUGCAAGACCCCAGCCGCGCGUCACCACGAACCAUUCUGCGGGAGGGGCAGGACCUAAGGCUGUAUCUCUAGGAGGGAACGUGGAGACACCGCGGGCGGAGGGGACCUGGAGGAGUUCUUGGAGGAGCAGUCCUAGGCACGGGGCGAAGGAUUUACGCUGUAGCUGGUGGAGCGCACAUCGCCCUGGUUAGCUCUGCGGUGGGUCCUGGGCUCUUCCCGGCCUCUUCCUGCCUCCGCUGACAUCAGGGCCUCUCCUGUUUAGUCCUAGGCCUGCCCUUCAUCAGGACUCCGCAGAAAAAGAUGGGUAAAUUAAGGCGUACAUUUAAUUUUAACCAUCAUGCCUGACUUUCUAGGAUUCUGUGUGAAGAAUACAGAGACAGACGUUCCCUUUCAAAGAAAAAAGGGCAACACGAAGGCCCUCUUUAAGGAGAGAGUAAACAUUCACUUUAGGUAAAAAAUAGUCUUUUACACGCCUGUGCACGGCACACCUCUUUUGCUGUUCACCUUGACCCCAAGACUUUGGAAAGGCUGCCCCCAUUUCAGAGAGGAAGAAACGCAGGCACACGUGAAUGACAGACUCCUCUGUGGUGGCCUAGACUCCAGCCAGCACUUCCUAGGACAGCCUGCCAUUGUGCAAAGUCACCAUGUAACAAAUGCAGACAUCUCUGAGAUCACCAUGCAGUGAGGAAGUCCAAGAUGGUGGCAGGAAGAGGCCACAUGGAAAGGGCUAAAAAAGGGGCCAGCCUCAGUCAUCCCGGCUGAGCACCUGGCUGGGAAUAAAAGAGGACUCCGUGGAUGUCCAGCCCAGUAAGAUGACCUCAGCCCCAGCCACCAACUGACCACGCACACAAGACAUAGUGAGGCUGCCUGCUGGAGCCUGGCCAGUGGGACUGUAGAGUAACUCAUUGUCGUAAGCCAAUACUUUUGUGGGUGAUUUGUUUCAUAAAGUGGCCUCCAAAAGAGAAAUUGGGGGUACAGAGUUUCUAGGUACUAUCUUGUGCAUUCAUUGUAGUUGUAAUCAUUGAUAAUUUAUUUGUGUGUUUUUCCUGAAAGUUUUAUAACAACAUGAUUUAUAGUGUAUAAAAUAAACAUAUCCCUACAUCCAACAAACUUGCCUUUUUUUUUUUUUUUUUUUUUUUUUUUUUGAGACAGGGUCUCAUUCUGUUGCCCAGGCUGGAGUACAGUGGCAUGAUCAUGGUUCACUGCAGCCUCAACCUUUUGGGCUCAAGCAAUCCUCCUACCUCAGCCUCCCAAGUAGCUGGGACUAUGGGCAUGUGUCACAGCACCCAGCUAUUUAUUUCUUUUUUGAGACGGUUUCACUCCUGUCACCCAGGCUGGAGUGCAGUGGUGCAAUAGCUCACUGCAACCUCUACCUCCUGGGCUCAAGCAGUUCUGCUGCCUUAGUCCCCUGACUAGCUGGGACUACAGGCACAUGCCACUGCACCUGGCUAAUUUUUGUAUUUUUUUAGAGGCGAGGUUUCGUCAUGUUGCCUUGGCUGUUGUUAAACUCCUGAGCUCAAGUGGUCCUCCUGCCUUGGUCUCCCAAACUGUUGGGAUUACAGAUGUGAGCCACUGCACCUGGCUAAUUUUUGUAUUUUUUUGUAGAGAUGGGUUUUCACCAUGUUACCCAGCUGGUCUCGAGCUUCUGGGCUCAAGUCAUUUGCCUGUCUCAGCCUCCCAAAGUGCUGGGAUUACAGGCAUCACUGCACCCCACCUAAAAGUGCCUUAAUUUUAAAAGAAAUACAGGUUUUAUUUGAUAUAUGUCUAGUAUAUUCUUAGGAUUUUUUUUUAACCAAUAAGAACCCCUACCAAUUAUCCCCCAAGAUAUAGAAUUGAUAACCCUAUGUGAUGACUGUAUGUUUUGAACCAAAACCAGGUAUGAUGAAUGGCUAACAGCUCAGGGGCCCUGGAGACACAAGGAAGCCUCACUGGUGAGAGGUGACUGCCUGUGGGCCGCACAGUUUCCUGGAAAGGCAGUGAGAGCAUCUGGUACCUCCAGACACUGCAGAAACAGUGUCACAGAAACAUCUCAGAGGCGUCACUUCUCUUUAUCAAGAUUUUAAAGUGAUUUCAACAUUAAAAAAAAACAACAACAAUGUAAAGAAUUUGAGUGUGGAGUGAUGAUCAUGCUUCCAGGUUUAGGAUCAGGCUCUUUCUCCCAUUGUCUUGUUGAUUUAAGGUGCAGGAACUCCUGGGAUGGUGUUGCCCAGUGACACAAUCCCAGUGUGGCCAUUUCUGAUCCUGAGAAAGCAGUCAGGAGUGGGUGGAUGCAGUUACAGUUCAUCAAGUCCUGCUAGUUCAAGUCAUGAGUCCUGAAUUCUCCAGGAGGAGCCACUAAAGAAAUGCAAAAGCAGGCAAUCCUUGCAAUAAAGUGGGAUGAGGUUCUUUGGUUGCUGCUGUUAUGGGGGUGGAGUGCAUGUUGGGGCCUGGGGAGUGAGGCUGAGGGCUCCCCCAGUCUGUCCCUCCCUGAGCCUGAGCUCUUGGUUCCCACCCAGUCCUUUGUUUCUUUCGUCUCUAGGAGCACCUGCACCCCUGGUUUGCAGCAUGUCCUAAGAUGAGUUACCAUGAGCCCCAGGUUCCCAUAUGUAAAGGAUGGGCAGCGCUUCCUCACCUGCUUCUCCACUGAGCCCUUACAGAGCCCUCAGAUGGAGACUGCUGCUUUCACGUCUUGCAGGCCAGCAAACUGCCAGUGUGAAGGAUGCCCAGGUAACCCGCCCACGCCAGAAUGGCCAGGAGAUGGUGGAACCAGAAUCUAAGCCCACGCCCAUCUGACUUCAAAGUCUGUGCUCCUGAUGUUUGCACCGAGUCACCUCCUAAGACUUGCUGCAACUGGAUCACGUCCAUUUACCUAUCUCUGAGAGAAAUGCAAGCUUUAAAAAAGGAAAUAUUUACUAUGGAUAUUUUACAAUAGUUCCAAAACAUGAAAGCUUUAAAUAAGAUAUUCUUAACCAUCCUCACCACAUCUUCAGGUUCCCUUACAGCCACUUUGUUUUGAUGAUUGCCCAUUAGAAAAAAAGGCUAUGCUUUCUGUAGGUUUUAAAGGAAUGGUGGUGAAAUAGGGAGCAUUCCCUGAGCAGAUCCUGCCUGCGGGCACAUCUCUGAGCAUUGGACCAGGCGAGAAGAGCCCAUGUGUUGGCUGCUUUGGGAUCCCAGCACUGCCAAUGGCAGGUGGGCUGUGACCCAGGGAGAGAACCUAGCCUUUUGCAUUCUCUUGCCCCAUUUGAAAAUGGAGAUGAUAGUGGCGCCCCGCUCAGUGUUAUUUUGAGGAUUCGAAUGUGUCUCAGACGUAGUACCUGAAAAAAUAUAAGUGCUCAGUAAAUACGGUUGCCAGAUAAAAUGCAGGAAACCUAUUUAAAUUUAAGUUUUGGCUGGACAAUGAAUAGAAUAAUUUUUCUUAGUAUGAGUAUGUCCUUAUAUUUUAUCUGCUAAAUUUAGCAACCUCCUCAGUAAAUGAUCACUACAAUUGCAAAAACUCCUUAUGACAGAUAUAGUAAAUCUGUAAAGAAAUAGGAACUUGCAUUUAUUUUUACUAAGCUCUGACUGGUUAAGAUAACUGGGCAAGAGAAGACAUCUUCGACUAAACUUGCAGCAUAUAGAGUAUAGAGAUUCAAAUUUGAAGUCCUAUAGGACUAGAAUGGCCAGAGGUGAACUGUAGUGAGCUUAUCUAAAGAGUACCAAUUUCAAAAGUUCCUCAGAGACUUAAAUGGGCCCACAGACCCCUCCUGUGUCUUUGCAUAAGCCAGCUCAUUAUAUCAGUUAUAAAUUGAUUUCCAGAGAAAUGUACCCUGGAGGUCCCUCUCCCACUUGAGAUAGGACUGGCCAAUCCAGAUGUCCCCCAGGUGAUGUUGGCUCAAAUAUAGCUCCAUAAAUUGGAGAAUCUAUUCAAGAAAACAAGCAAAAGUAUUUGUGACUGAGUUAGCUAAUGCCAGCUGGUAUCUUGAACAAACCCAGAUCUCUAACAUGCUAGUUUAUUUCAUAGUGUAAAAUGUGUGUUACUGAUGGGCAGACAGCUCUCAUUCAGGCAGUGACAGAUGCAAGCUCUUCCCAUUUUUGUGGCCCCAUUGUAUUCAGCUUGUGGCUUCCAAGGUGCCUGGGAUCAUCUCCACCGAGACUAAGGAAGAGGAAAGAGCUUGGACAACUGCACUUGGCUGGUUUUUCUGGAUCAGGCAAGGAAUUGGCUCCAACGCAUUAGCUCACAUUCCAUUGGUUAGAACUGGGUUUCUCAACUAUUAGUACAGGGUGAGUGUAGGAUUUUGGUACCAUGGGCAUUUGAGCUGGCCAAAGGCUAAUCAGAGUUAGAACAAAGCCACAAAGCCUGUGAAUGGUGUUUAUUGUUGUGAGGGGCUGUCUUGUGCAUUGUGGAAUGUUCAGCAGGAUGCUCUCUGGCCUCAGAGACUCACUAGAUUCCCAUAGAACCCUCCUGUCUCCUCCAGUUGUGACAACCACAGUUGCCUCCUCUCCAGACAUUGCUAGAUGUCCCCGGGAGGCAAAAUUGUCCUGGUUGAGAACCACUGUGUUAGAACUCGGUCACAUGGCCACACCUAACUGCGAGGGAGGCUGGAAGAUCUAGACGAGUAGUAUCCCAGGAAGAAAAUAAAACUGAUUUAGAGGCUGCUGGCCAGUCACUUUCAGUGACCUUGAGCAUACUUAUUCCUCUUCAGCUGUCAGGACACUCAUGCCUGUUUCUGAGAUGUUUUCUGUGUGAGGGGACAUAGUGACAAGUGGAGGGGUGACAUGUUGGACUUGGGUAGGGUGAAGAGGAUUGGAAACCACCAUCAUGUUUGGCAGCAUUGAAUGUUUAUGACUAUUUGAAUAGUUGUGACAAGGGUACAGUGAAGGAGGAAAUAAACAUUUUUGAAUACCCCUUUACAAUUUGCAAAGCACUUUUAAAGGUAAGAGUGAGUUCCUAGACCAUAUUAGGGUGAGAAUGGACAUUGUUGGCUGCCGUAUCACUGGGCAGGGGCUUUGAGAUUUUUGUCUUCAAAAGGCAGAUUAGAUUUGGACUAGAAGGAGAAAUGUAAAGACCUGGUAUCUGAGUGUGUUUGCAGAGGGGAAUUGUCAUUUGGAAGCCCAAGAAAGGGGAUGGCCCAUUGGCACAUAUGGUACAUUGUGUUUUCAUAUAAUUAUACCUGAAUGAAAGCAAGAGGAAACGUGUAGGAAGCUGUUUACAUAGUCCUUUUAAUAAUGUUUACAUGAGUUAAUGAACAUGCAAACGUAUCUGAUGAAAACAUGUCAGUAGUGAAACAGCCUUGUGAAGAAUCAGAUCUUACCUCAGGCUGGAAAAAAGGACUGCUUUUCCAAGCUCACAUAUUGCAGCCAGUGUGAACAGUAGCACAAAUGACUUUGAGCUUUAAGACAUCCAUCCAUCCAUCCAUCUAUCCAUCCCCUCAUCCGUCCAUCCCCUCAUCCAUCCAUUUAUCCCUUCAUCCAUCACUCCAUCCAGCCAUCCAUCCCUUCAUCAAUCCAUCCAUCCCUUCAUCCAUCCAUCCAUCCCUUCAUCCAUCCAUCCAUCCAUCCCUUCAUCCAUCCAUCAAUCCAUCCAUCCAUCCAUCCUUCCUUCCAUUCUUCCCUUCAUCCAUGCGUCCAUCCAUCCACUCAUUCAUCCCUUCAUCCAUCCAUCCAUUCCUUCAUCCACUCAUCCCUUCAUCCAUCGUCUACCAUUCAUUUGCCCCUUCAUCCAUCCAUUCAUUUAUCCAUCCAUCCAUCCAUUUACAUUCAUCCAUCCCUUUAUCCAUCCAUUCACCCAUUCAUCCCUUUAUCCAUCUAUCCAUUCCUCCAUCCAUCCAUCCAUCCAUCCAUUUAUCUAUUCAUCCCUUCAUCCAUUCUUCCAUCCAUUCAUCCAUUCAUCUUUUCAUUCAUCCAUCCAUUGCUCACUCCAUCCAUCCAUUGCUCCAUCCAACCAUCCAUCCAUCCAUUCAUCCCUUCAUCCAUCCAUCCAUUCAUCCCAUCAUCCAUCGAUCACUUCAUCCAUCCAUCCAUCCAUCCUUCCAUCCAUCCUUCCAUUCAUCAUCCAUGUGUUCAGCAAGUAUUUACUGAACACCUAUUAUGUGCGAAGCACUCUCCUCAGAACUUAGGAAAUACCAGUAAACAAAAUCAACAACAAUCCUUCACCACCUGGAUGUUACAUUUUGAUGGGAAGAGAGAAAGAAAUAAAAUUGGUGAGUGAAUCACAUAGGUUAUUAGAAGGUGAUAAAGGUGUAGGUGAUAAAGGAGAAGUGCCAGGAGCAAGGAUUGGGUACAGUUGUGAAUAAGGUGGCCCCAAUAGGUUGCACUGAGAAGGUGACAUUUGCACAGAGACUUGAAGAAAGCAAGGAGAGAACAUGACUGUACCUGGGGAACAGCAUUUGUGGAAGAUGGAACAGCCAGUGCAAAAGUUCCAAGGCAUGAGUGCCUGGUGCAUACACGGAACAUCGAGGCCAGGGUGGCAGAAACGCGGUGAGUCCAGGAAGGGAAUAGGAAAUAAGUGUAGGAAGGUGUACAGUGGGGUGGUGUGGGGGUGGAAUUGUGGCAGCCAGAUGGUGUUGGCAUAAGGCCUCUUGGCCCUUGUUAGGACUUGAUUUACCAUGGUGCAACACACCCAUGAGAUUGGCAAAAAUUAAAAAGUCUGACAACAGAAAAUCUGGAAAUCUGGUGAGGAUGUGGAGCAGUGGGAAUUCUCCAAUACUGCCAGGGGGCAUGGGCAUCAAUCCCACCACACUGGAAGGCAAAGGGGCAUUCUCAGUAGAACUGAAGAUGUGCCCAUCCUUGACCCCACAGUUCCAGCCGUGGGCAUGCGAAUGAAUGUGCACACGUGUUGACUGCGGCAUUUGUUUGUAAUUAUGAAAACAUCUAAGUUUCCAUCUAUGGGAGAGGGGAUAAUGUGGGAGUGCCCUACAGUGGAGUUCUAGAGAGCAGUAAAAAUAAAUGGACUAGAGCUGUACACGUCAAAAUGGAUGAAGAUAAAAGACAUAAGGAUGGGAGAAGAACACCUGGCCACAGAAGUAUAUGUCCAAUAUGAUGCUGGUGUAUCCAGAGUGUUCAAACAAACAACACAACACUACUCAUUGUUUCCAACAUGAGUAUGAAAGUAUGGAGCAGUGUCGAGGGCCAGAAGUGCUGAGUCCAGAUGGUUACUUCUCCAGGCGGGGGCCGAGGACCAGGGCUGGAGGUUUACUCCAGGAGCUUCAGUGGUGCAUGCCGAAUGUGCUGUUUCUUGGGCUGGGGGACAGAGAUGUGCAUGCUGUUAUACACUCUAUAUUGAAAUGAUUAUAUAACAAUAUACUAAUUUAUCAUGUAAUAAAUUUGACCAGAAAAAAAAAAAA